GGUCCUGUAGUGUAGCGGUUAUCACAUGGGAUUCUGAUAAAUGAAUGAGAAUUCAUUUCCCAUGACCCAGGUUCGAUUCCUGGCAGGACCU
Molecule: non-coding RNA, 91 nt
Organism: Dendrothele bispora CBS 962.96
Lineage: Eukaryota; Fungi; Basidiomycota; Agaricomycetes; Agaricales
Source: the annotation of a GenBank genome assembly